GUAGAGUCGGUUGUCGCUGGUCCCUUCGGGGGCAUGUGCACGCCUUCUCUUUCAUCCACACACACCUGUGCACUCGUGAGACGGAAGCCCUCGGGCGUCCGUCUGCUCUACAUAAACUCAUAUCUAUAAUUCGAAUGUAAUUGAUGUAACACAUCUUUAAACUAAGUUUCAACAACGGAUCUCUUGGCUCUCGCAUCGAUGAAGAACGCAGCGAAAUGCGAUAAGUAAUGUGAAUUGCAGAAUUCAGUGAAUCAUCGAAUCUUUGAACGCACCUUGCGCUCCUUGGUAUUCCUUGGAGCAUGCCUGUUUGAGUAUCAUGAAAUUAUCAAAAUAAUUCUUUUGUUCAUUCGAUUGAAUUUAUUUUGGACUUGGAGGUCUGCAGAUUCACGUCUGCUCCUCUUAAAUAAAUUAGCUGGAUCUCAGUGAGCUCGGUUCCACUCGGCGUGAUAAGUAUCACUCGCUGAGGACACUGUAAAAGGUGGCCGGGAUUGCGGAUGAACCGCUUCUAAUCGUCUAUUCACUUAGACAACAAUACUUUAUGAUCUGAUCUCAAAUCAGGUAGGACUACCCGCUGAACUUAAGCAUAUCAAUAAGCGGAGGAAAAGAAACUAACAAGGAUUCCCCUAGUAACGGCGAGUGAAGCGGGAAGAGCUCAAAUUUAAAAUCUGGCGGUGUAUUCCGUCCGAGUUGUAGUCUAGAGAAGCAUCAUCCGUGCCGGACCAUGUACAAGUCUCUUGGAACAGAGCGUCAUAGAGGGUGAGAAUCCCGUCCUUGACAUGGACUCCCGGUGCUUUGUGUUGAGCUCUCAACGAGUCGAGUUGUUUGGGAAUGCAGCUCAAAAUGGGUGGUAAAUUCCAUCUAAAGCUAAAUAUUGGCGAGAGACCGAUAGCGAACAAGUACCGUGAGGGGAAAGAUGAAAAGCACUUUGGAGAGAGAGUUAAACAGUACGUGAAAUU
This 956-nucleotide ribosomal RNA is filed under the name uncultured fungus. Its description in RNAcentral is "eukaryotic LSU rRNA". The stretch from base 545 to 956 matches the Rfam family "Eukaryotic large subunit ribosomal RNA", at positions 1 to 406 of the family's 3401-position model. The record is from RNAcentral. Lineage: Eukaryota; Fungi.